UUGACCUCAAAUCAGGUGGGACUACCCGCUGAACUUAAGCAUAUCAAUAAGCGGAGGAAAAGAAACUAACAAGGAUUCCCCUAGUAACUGCGAGUGAAGCGGGAAAAGCUCAAAUUUAAAAUCUGGCGGUCUCUGGCCGUCCGAGUUGUAGUCUGGAGAAGCGUCUUCCGCGCUGGACC
RNAcentral lists this ribosomal RNA (179 nucleotides) under Bondarzewia mesenterica. RNAcentral's name for it is "partial 28S ribosomal RNA". It matches the Rfam family "Eukaryotic large subunit ribosomal RNA", at positions 1 to 176 of the family's 3401-position model. The record is from RNAcentral. Lineage: Eukaryota; Fungi; Basidiomycota; Agaricomycetes; Russulales; Bondarzewiaceae.